Syngnathoides biaculeatus (alligator pipefish) is the source of this 1179-nucleotide long non-coding RNA. RefSeq lists it as uncharacterized. Lineage: Eukaryota; Metazoa; Chordata; Actinopteri; Syngnathiformes; Syngnathidae. The transcript is spliced from 4 exons. The record is from RefSeq and is a predicted model, not a curated record.
AAUCGCCACACACAUCGGCCGCAAGACUCUUCUAAAGGUGACGAGUGGGACCCUUAAAGGCACCAUAUUCUUUCAUUGUCUAACAAGGAGCUGAGUGGGAAAUUUCAGGAAAACUCAUCACGUUCUUUUUUUUUUUUUUGCUUCAUCGGUGAGGAGUUUGCGCUCACCUUUGUGGGUCAGUAAAGCCUCGUCCAAGAACUCAGCGGUGGGCCGAAAGUGUGGAGAGAUGUCGACGUCAGGGAAGUCAUCUACUUCAACGCCCAUGUCUGCUGGGGGCCUCCAGGCGGUCCUGAACCAUCGCUCUCUGGAUGUCCAGCACGCAGGGUGUGUUGUAGGGGCUGCGGUCAUCAAUCAUGUCCCGCACUCUGUUGUAGAGGUCCUCCACCAUCAGCUGCUCUGCGGUUUCAAGCAUGGACUCAGGGAUCGACUCAGCGCGGACACCUCGAGGCGGCAAUUCUGGGAAUGACAGAAAAGCGGAGUUUCUUUUGAACGGGACAGACAAGCUUAUCCGUAUGCAAUGGUUGACUGCCAGAUCAUCUCACUCAAGUCAUCCGCUCAACUCAUUAGGUGAUGGAGGAAUCCAGACAGUCGCCUGCAUCGAGUUAAUUGGCUCAUUUGACACAAAUCAUAUUCCUCUUCAGAUUUACUGGGAUCGCAGCAGUUUAAUAGGAAAUCCAUGUUUUAUCUGAUGGCCUUUUAAUUAUCUUCCUGCUGCUUGUGCUGUGCGUUGACGUCCUGCUGGGAGCUGAAAUGGUCACCGUGGGAGCUCUAGUCGCGAAUAAUCAAUGUGAACACUGACAGAACUUGUAAAGCUUUCUUGAUUCUUUCAACUUCAGAGGAUCUGGUUCAAAAAAAAAUCUUUAAAUAGUUCAGGUGGUAUCCUUUGGUGGACAACUUGGAGACCGCUGUGCUGAUCAAAUAAGAAAAAAAAAUCUUACACUUGUUGCCUGAUGUGAGUAUCAAACCAUGUCUCACCCUCAUUGAUGAUCUUCUUGGCGGCGAUGGCAGAUGACAAAUGGAUGGGCUCCAUGAAAAUACUGGUGGCAUCUGAGCCCGAGAUGGCAGAAAAUCUGGACCCUGACAUCAUAGAGAGGCUGGAAAUGGUACAGACCAAGUUAUCCAGGAUCAAGCAUACCUUGGCUUGAAGUGUUAAAAAAAAAAAAAAACAUUACCUGGGUG